GACGAACGCUGGCGGCGUGCCUAACACAUGCAAGUCGAACGAAGCAUUUAAGUGAAUCUCUUCGGAGUGAAGCUUUUAUGACUUAGUGGCGGACGGGUGAGUAACGCGUGAGUAACCUGCCUUUCAGAGGGGGAUAACAGUUGGAAACGACUGCUAAUACCGCAUAACGUAUUUUGAUCGCAUGAUCGAGAUACCAAAGCUGAGGCGCUGAAAGAUGGACUCGCGUCUGAUUAGAUAGUUGGUGAGGUAACGGCUCACCAAGUCGACGAUCAGUAGCUGGACUGAGAGGUUGAACGGCCACAUUGGGACUGAGACACGGCCCAG
Molecule: ribosomal RNA, 324 nt
Filed under: uncultured bacterium
Lineage: Bacteria
Description: bacterial SSU rRNA
Rfam family: Bacterial small subunit ribosomal RNA
Source: RNAcentral